GUCACAAGUUCUCUUUAGUUUCAGGAUGUUGUAUGCUAAACCUGUUACCUUUAUGUGUAGAGAGAAAUUUAGUAGAAUGCAGUACAAGUGCCUCUGAUGGGCACUUACCUGGUCUGCAAGCUGCUGGGAAACGUGCUUCCACCAUGUGAUGCUGUGUGUGUUCCUGGGUGUAACCUAAUGUUGAUCUGCAGUGCAUGCAGACAAAUGCAUCCUAUGAGCCACCCUUUGGCAACUGAAGAAAGUACUGAAGCAUCAAUUACUCACAGCUUAGUCACUCCUCGGGAAAAGAGGAAGAGAAAUGGACUCAAUUUAUGGGAAGCUUCUAUGUGCAACUACCACGAACAGGAAAUGAACAGAACAUCUGUCAGCAAAAAGGCAUCUUGGCUAACUUCUGGAUCACAAUGACUGUAACCCCAUACAGAACUGAUUUCCCCAAUACAUCUGAAAAGGGAAUUUGAGAAGGAAGAGGAGUAGGUACAUGAUUUUUGGGCCAGAUGUCACAGAACACUGUUGAUAAGAGACUUGGUAAAAAUUUUAGACAUCCUGUCAUCCUGAAGACAAUGAAAUAUCAAUGAGGAUCGAGCAGUAGAAGCUGUGGCUGGAGAGGAAAAAGAGUUGUUCAUUCAAAGCCCUAAGAUAUCUUUGCUAUUAAAAUUCAGCACACUUUCAGAAAACAGACUGAAGGAAGAAUCAAGUACAGUUUUAUGACCUCGUAAAUUUUACCAGUCUCUUUUAAGCUCUACAUUAUUAUUCACUUUUCAAAGACAGUCUAUGGCAUUACAGACUAUCAAAGGAGAUGUCUGGAAAAGUAAGCUUUGAGAACCAAUUACUAGAAAGUGUUACUACAAAAUGCUUUUAUCAGAUAACUUAUCAAGAUUCCAAAACAGGAAUUGAUUCAGAGAGGAUCAGAAUAUCUUUACCACAACAUUUACUGAUGAUGAAUCACCUGUCAGAAGUCCUUGGGGAACACCUCUGUACCUAAAAUUGGUACACACGUCUGAGUACUAAGAUGCCUGUGGCUCAACUUGGCAGAAAACUGCAUACUUAUAAUGCUGCAACUUCUGAAUAAGUUGGGUGUGGCUAGGCUGGGAGAAUCAGCUGCUAGAAUGGCUUCUAGAAGGAAGAAUUUACUUGUCAUUCAGAGAUCUCUCCAUUGGCUUCUGGGAAUCCUCUUUUGUUUUUCUGCUUUCCUACAUUUGUAAUUGCUAAAUGCUAGACUGUAAGAGGAGGCUGUUACACUAAGAACUGAAUUUGGAUUAUUCAUUGUGGAUUUAACAAUUUCUUUUGGAAGCCAUGCAUCUCCUGAAGCUAUAGACUGUGGUGGAUAAUAAUUAAAAAAUAUGAAUCCAAGACAAAUAUUUCUCUUUCCAUUUGCAGUCCUGAAUGGAAAACUGAAAAUACAAAUAGAAGAUACUGUUUUCCAUUUACAGACAGGACAGUAUAAUUUAUUCUUUUUUUGUUUGUUUGUUUUAAUGUUAGGCUCUUAUUUGGUGCAAUUAUUUAGAUUUUGUAUAUUAAUAUUCUCCAGAUAUUUCUAAGCCUUUCAGCAAAGGGUUUGAUUGCAG
Long non-coding RNA from Lagopus muta (rock ptarmigan), 1565 nucleotides. RefSeq lists it as uncharacterized. The transcript is spliced from 3 exons. Lineage: Eukaryota; Metazoa; Chordata; Aves; Galliformes; Phasianidae. The record is from RefSeq and is a predicted model, not a curated record.